RNAcentral lists this long non-coding RNA (6389 nucleotides) under Triticum aestivum (bread wheat). RNAcentral describes it as "long non-coding RNA (TAES_LNC020121)". Lineage: Eukaryota; Viridiplantae; Streptophyta; Magnoliopsida; Poales; Poaceae. The record is from RNAcentral.
GUUAGACAUGUAACGUGUUGGGUAUAGCGUUCGGUACAGUCUGGAGUCAUGUACGUAGAAGAUUGAGUUAGUUAGUUAGGAGUCCUCUCUUAUCUCUCUAUCUCUCUAUCUCAUGUAACCUCCCGUGUAAUCCUCUCUAUGGUUAGCCAGAGGCUGCCGCACCUUGUACCGAACCCUCCCAAUCAAUAAAUACAUCGCGGGUCUCCUUGUAUGGAGAUUGAGACGCUUCAUCAUACUUUGAAAUGGUAUACAGAGCAGGCCUCUUCCAUCUCAUCUAGCAUAUCAUCUUCAACCUCCCACCCACCCAUCGCAUCCCUGUUCAUCUUCCACCUUCCCACCGCCGCCAUCCAUCAUGUCCACCUCCACUGCCCAAAUUUCCUCUGGCCUAAACUACAACACCUCCGAGCCGCUCACCCGGACGAACUAUGUUCUCUGGAGAGCGCAAGCGCGAUCCCAGAUACUGGGCGCUGGCUUGUAUGGCUAUAUCGAUCAAACCAUCCAGGAGCCUCCCAAAACAAUCACAACCAAAGAUAAAGAGGGCAAGGACCAGGUCGUCCCCAACCCUGCAUAUGCUCCCUGGCUAGUCCAGGACCAGCAGAUCGUCGCUUAUCUUCUCCGAAAUCUCUCCAAGGAGGUUCUCGUUCAGGUUGCCUCCCUUGAAACCUCUCACGCGAUCUGGACUGCUCUUGCAUCUAUGUUUGCAGCUGUCUCAUUAUCACGUGCCAACAAUCUUCGCGCCGCUCUCACCAAUGCCCAGAAGGGCUCGCUGUCGGCCUCGGCAUACUUCGGCCACAUGCGCUCCCUCUCCGAUGAACUCGCGGCGGCGGGCAGAGCUCUCGGGGAGGGGGAGAUCAUCUCCUUCAUCAUCGCAGGCCUUGACAUGGACUACCAACCGAUCAUAUCGACACUGGACGUUCGCGUUGAACCCAUCACAGUCGACGCCCUCUUCUCCAUGGUGGCCAACUUCGACCAGAGGGUCGAGAUGUUCCACGGGAACGGCGCCGGGGGCUUCAAAUCCUUGGCCAAUCUCGCCUCUCGAGGGCGUGGCGGCGGCAAGGGCUCCUACCGCAACCAGAAGGGCAGUGGUGGCUCGCGUGGUGGCUACGGUGCCAGCAGCGGUGGUGGCGACUACAAUCCUGGCGGCGGCUACAACCUUGGCGGCGGCUCUGCCGCUGGACACGGUGCCGGAAACGGUGGCGGUCAUCAUGGCGGAUACCCUGAUGGUGGCGGCGGCUACUAUCAUGGGGGUGGUGGCGGCGGCCACCACCAACAGCACCCUGACGGCAACAACAACAGGCGGGCUCCUCCUAACAGAGGGAGAGACUUCCAGGGCUAUGAAGGUUAUGAGGGUAAAUGUCAAAUAUGCAAAAAAAACUAAUCAUCUUGCUCGAGAUUGUGCUUGGCGUUACGCUGAGAAGAAUUCUCAGCCUAAGAAAGUUGCAGCUGCCGCCGAUGCCUCGUAUGGUGUCGAUACAAAUUGGUACAUGGACACAGGGGCAACAAACCACAUCACGGGAGAAUUGGAGAAAUUAACCAUGCAUGAAAAGUACCGUGGCAAUGAUCAAGUUUACACCGCUGCAAACGGUGCAGGUAUGGAAAUUAGUCAUAUUGAUAAAUCACUUAUCAGAACCCCACACAAAAAUCUUGAGCUAAACAGAAUCCUGCAUGUCCCUAAUGCUUCCAAAACUUUGCUAUCUGUUCAUAGAAUUGCUCUUGACAACAAUGUUUUUCUAGAGUUUCACCCGUUCUUCUUUUUGAUCAAGGAUCAGGAUCAGGUCUGUGUGCAAGGGCUCUAUGCUUUGCUUCCUCAAUAUUGUCAGUUCAAUAAACAAGUGUACGGUGCCAUCAAGCUCUCUGCUGAAAGGUGGCAUAGUCGUUUAGGUCAUCCUUCUUUUGCCACUGUUCAUCAAAUUCUUGGUAGAAAUAAACUCCCAGUUGUUGGUGAGCGAGAUUCUGAAACUAUUUGUGAUUCAUGUCAACGAGCAAAAAGUCAUCAAUUGCCUUAUCCUGUAUCAACUAGUGUGUCAACCAAACCUUUGCAACUGAUUUUUUCUGAUGUAUGGGGUCCAGCACCCACAUCUGUUGGUAGACAUUCCUAUUACAUUAGUUUCAUUGAUGACUAUAGCAAAUAUACGUGGAUCUAUCUUCUUAAGAAACGUGCUGAUGUGUUUCAAGUCUUUCACAACUUUCAAGCACUUGUUGAACGAAAGUUUAAUAGCAAAAUUAUUGUUGUGCAGUCAGACUGGGGUGGUGAGUAUGAGAAACUCAACUCCUUUCAAAAAAUUGGAAUCUCUCGUCACGUUUCAUGCCCUCAUGCUCACCAGCAAAACGGCUCUGCCAAGCGCAAGCACAGACACAUUGUUGAAGUAGGUCUAGCCAUCCUAGCUUCAGCUUCCAUGCCAUUAAAAUUCUGGGAUGAAGCCUUUCUUACCGCCGUUCACCUCAUUAAUAUGUGGCCUAGUCGAGUCAUUUCCAAUGAAACUCCAACUAAACGGCUUUUGAUGUCACACCGGAUUACACCACUCUUCGAGUCUUUGGUUGUGCCUGUUGGCCCAACCUUCGACCCUACAACACCCGUAAGCUUAUGUAUCGCUCCAAACAGUGCGCGUUCCUUGGCUAUAGUAUACAACACAAGGGUGUUAAAUGUCUUGAUGUGUCCACCGGUCGUGUUUACAUAUCUCGUGAUGUCGUUUUUGACGAGACACAAUUUCCUUUCGCUAAACUCCACCCAAACGCCGGUGCUCUUCUCAGAAAGGAAAUCCUCCUCCUUCCUCCUCAUCUUUCCAGGGUUGAUCGUGUGGGUCAUGAUACUAGUGAUGAAUCAAUUUUGACUAAUUCUCCUGACAUACCCUCUGAAUUUUCUGAUACAGGGCGACACAACAGUGCAACUUCUGGUACAGAUGACGGUGUUUUUAUUCCUAUUAUUGCACCCCGGGCUGUUGCAGCAGAUCCCACCGGAUCCUCCUCGGGAUCGGUGUGUCAGCCCGCGCCCGCACGGACUGAAUCAGCAACGGGAUCCGCGCCUCCGAAUCAGCGCCCCUCCGAUCCCGCCACGCGGUCGACCGCGCCCGAGCUGGUCUCCUCAGGUGCGACCCGCCAAUCGCCUUCGGGAGACACUCCGACUGAGCGCUACGCACCCACCCCGCUGGUCUAUUCCAGGCGGGCCCCGUCAUCCACUAUCCCGCAUGCAGCCGGGCCAGGUGGGCCUGGUGCGCGUCCCGAGUCUGCUCCGGUCGGGCGCCCUGGAUCUUCUGUGUGUCCUGGGCUGUCAUCAUCAUCAUCUCCCGCCGCAGAAGAUCCGGUAUCUGCCUCGUCACCAGCCGGGUCCCCUGCCUCCGGAUCGCCUGCCUCGGGAUCGCUGGAUCCUCCUGUUCAGGAGCAGGUUGCCUCUCCUGGAUCAUCUGUGGCUGUGCCAGCGCCCCCUUCACCACCCCGUACACGUCUUCGAGAUGGUACAAUUCAACCGGUUCAUUACAAAACUAAGUUUGGUUUGGCCGUGUCACCUGUUUCUGCAGAAGAGCCACGCACUGUCUCCGCUACACUUGCUGAUCCGAAGUGGGCCAAAGCCAUGCAUGAGGAAUUUUGUGCUCUUCAGCAAAACCACACGUGGCAUCUUGUUCCUUCAUGUCCAGGUCUUAAUGUCAUUCACUGUAAGUGGGUUUUCCGUAUCAAAUGACGGUCAGAUGGUACUAUUGAUCGUUACAAAGCUAGAUUGGUUGCCAAAGGUUUCAAACAGAGGUAUGGGCUUGAUUAUGAGGACACUUUCAGUCCUGUUGUUAAAGCUGCUACUAUUCGUCCUGUCCUAUCCAUUGCUGUGUCAUGAGGUUGGAGUCUUCGCCAGCUAGAUGUCAAGAAUGCGUUUCUUCAUGGUGUUCUGGAAGAGGAAGUCUACAUGAAGCAACCUCCUGGUUUUGCGGACCCAGACAAACCAACUCAUAUCUGCCGGCUUGACAAAUCACUUUAUGGUCUGAAACAGGCUCCCCGAGCAUGGUAUUCUCGCUUGAGUUCCAAGUUGCAAACCCUUGGCUUUGUUUACUCUAAAUCUGACACCUCUCUGCUUAUCUACAAUAAAUGCAAUACAGUAUAUUUGUGCUCAUUUAUGUUGAUGAUAUUAUUGUCACAAGCUCAUCUGCUGAGGCAGUUACAGCUCUGCUCAAAGACUUGAAAUCUGAGUUUGCUCUAAAAGAUCUUGGUGACUUGCACUAUUUUCUUGGCAUUGAGGUCAAACGCAAUACUGAAGGUGGUCUUCAUCUCUCUCAAGAAAAGUAUGCAACUGAUCUUCUGAGCAAGGCCGGGCUCCAAGGUUGUAAACCAUCCACAACUCCAUUAUCCAGUUCUGAGAAAUUGUCACUUGUGGAGGGUACACCUUUGAGUCAUGAGGAUAGCACAAAAUACAGGAGCUUGGUAGGUGCACUUCAGUACUUGACACUUACUAGGCCUGACAUCUCCUUUGCAGUAAAUAAAGUGUGUCAGUUUCUUCAUGCACCCACUUCUAGUCAUUGGACUGCUACUAAACGUAUACUGAGAUAUGUCAAGCAUACUCUAAGUGUUGGUCUCACCUUCACUAAGUCAUCUUCCACUCUAGUCAGUGCAUUUUCUGACUCUGAUUGGGCAGGCUGCUUGGAUGAUAGAAGAUCGACAGGUGGUUUUGCAGUGUUUUAUGGACCUAAUCUAAUUUCAUGGUGUGCAAAGAUGCAGGCAACAGCAGAAAUUAUAUGGGUUAAGGCUAUCAUCAAUGAACUUGGCAUAUGUCAUACACAGACUCCAUGCCUUUGGUGUGACAAUUUGGGUGCUACAUAUCUCUCUACAAAUCCUGUCUUUCAUGCCCGUACCAAGCACAUUGAGAUUGAUUACCACUUUGUGAGAGAAAGAGUUGCAAGGAAAGAAUUGGAAGUACGGUUUGUGCCAUCCAGAGACCAAGUUGCUGAUGGAUUUACAAAGGCCUUGUCUACAGGACCAUUUGAAGAAUUUAAACGUAAUCUGAACUUGCGGAGUUCAGAUUAAGGGAGAGUGUUAGACAUGUAACAUGUUGGGUAUAGCGUUCGGUACAGUCUGGAGUCAUGUACGUAGAAGAUUGAGUUAGUUAGUUAGGAGUCCUCUCUUAUCUCUCUAUCUCUCUAUCUCAUGUAACCUCCCGUGUAAUCCUCUUUAUGGUUAGCCAGAGGCUGCCGCACCUUGUACCGAACCCUCCCAAUCAAUAAAUACAUCGCGGGUCUCCUUGUAUGGAGAUUGAGACGCUUCAUCAUACUUUGACACUCCAGAGAGUGUCGAUCCACAGAGGGGUCUUCUUCAGACAUGGUGCAUACAGCAGCAGUAGCAGCAGCAGCAUCGAUCCAUCGUCUUGGACUGCAACAACGCAAAGAGAAAAGAAAGCUUACUCGAAUUACUCCAAUACUCCUCCAUCAUGUACAACAAGCAAGCAUACAACAAGCAAAAAUCUUCUUUUGUUCCCUACAAAUGUACAGCAAGCAAUCAAGUUACCUACAAAUGUACAGCAAGCAAGAAUGCAAGCAAGUCACUAGAGCAGUACUCCUUUUGUUCCCUUUGUUCCUCACAAGCAAAAAAGCAGAUCUGAAGCACAAGCACAAGCUUUAGUGAGCUCGGUAAAACUUCACUACUUGCACAUCACUAGAAGCAUAUGUCAAUGGAGUAAAAUUCAGUAAACAUCACAAGGAGCAGCCAAAAGUUCACAGGAAAAAUUCAGUGAACAGCACUGCAAGCAAAAUUCAGUAAUGUUUACUCCAUCACAAGAACUUUACUGGACUUGAGCUCCAUCAUAACUUCACAAGAUCUAAAGCAGCAGCAUCACUAGAGCAGAACUACUACACCAACACCAUCACUAGAGCAGAAAUACAGUAGCAUCAUCGGAGCAGAACCACUCCAUCGCAGCAUCACUUAAGUAGCAGCAUCAGUACAGAGGACAAGCACAAGGACUCACCGUCGUGGUAGUGGCCGCCAUAGUUGCUCCUCCCGCCGCUACAGUGCCGUCAACCGCUUCAGAUCCAGCGCCACCGCCGCUGCUAUGGUGCCCGCUUCAGAUCCAGCGCAGCCGCCGUUGCUAUGGUGCCCGCUUCAGAUACAGCGCCGCCGCCGCCUCCGCACAAGUACCCAUCGCCGCUUCAGAUGUGCCGGAGUAAAAAAAAGCAAUCUUUGGAAGAGAGGCGACGACACCAGACGAGCAAAGGGGACGACGCCAUCUUUGGAGGGGAGAGGAGACGCCGGCUAGAGGGAGGCUCGACGACGCCGGCGAGAGGGAGUCGGCGGCGACGACGCCGGGGAGGAGUGGGUGAGCUAGGGAUUUGGGGCUGUCGGAGAGAGGAACGCGAGAGGAGUGGGAGCUGUCCCGAGACGAGAGGAGAGGGAGCGGUCGCGAGGGCAAAAGUGGAAAC